Non-coding RNA from Coturnix japonica (Japanese quail), 365 nucleotides. Lineage: Eukaryota; Metazoa; Chordata; Aves; Galliformes; Phasianidae. The record is from RefSeq and is a predicted model, not a curated record.
GAGCCUUGCAGCGCCGGUCCGAGAGGCCUUGGCUGAAGGGAGAGGCUGCUGAGGGCACGGGAGCACGGAGAGCAGCCAAAGCUCAGGCCACGCCCCUUCCGGCUCAGGCCAGCGCCCACUUCGACGCAAGCCAGCCGCUUCCGGUUCAAGCCACGCCACCGGUCGCCGCUGGCCACGCCCACAGCUGAGCCUGAGGGCAGCCUGGACCUGUUGUGUGCUCUGAGGUCUCGGGGUCACCGCCCCGAGUGCUGUGGGGACGUGAAGGUGACGGCAGACACCUGUAGGGGACCCCUAACGAAAAUGGGGGGCAGGAUCAAGACCUGGAGGAGGAGGUGGUUCCUCCUCGACCCUACAAGGAAGAUGCU